AACGAACGCUGGCGGCAUGCCUAACACAUGCAAGUCGAACGAGACCUUCGGGUCUAGUGGCGCACGGGUGCGUAACGCGUGGGAACCUGCCCUUAGGUUCGGAAUAACUCCCCGAAAGGGGUGCUAAUACCGGAUAAUGUCUUCGGACCAAAGAUUUAUCGCCUUUGGGUGGGCCCGCGUUGGAUUAGCUAGUUGGUAGGGUAAAAGCCUACCAAGGCGACGAUCCAUAGCUGGUCUGAGAGGAUGAUCAGCCACACUGGGACUGAGACACGGCCAAGACUCCUACGGGAGGGAGCAGUGGGGAAUAUUGGACAAUGGGCGAAAGCCUGAUCCAGCAAUGCCGCGUGAGUGAUGAAGGCCUUAGGGUUGUAAAGCUCUUUUACCCGGGAUGAUAAUGACAGUACCGGGAGAAUAAGCUCCGGCUAACUCCGUG
This 433-nucleotide ribosomal RNA is filed under the name uncultured bacterium. RNAcentral describes it as "partial 16S ribosomal RNA". It matches the Rfam family "Bacterial small subunit ribosomal RNA", at positions 29 to 507 of the family's 1533-position model. The record is from RNAcentral.